Molecule: ribosomal RNA, 430 nt
Filed under: uncultured bacterium
Lineage: Bacteria
Description: bacterial SSU rRNA
Rfam family: Bacterial small subunit ribosomal RNA
Source: RNAcentral
AACGAACGCUGGCGGCAUGCCUAACACAUGUAAGUCGAACGAAGCCUUCGGGCUUAGUGGCGCACGGGUGCGUAACACGUGGAAUCUGCCCUUCGGUUCGGAAUAACAGUUAGAAAUGACUGCUAAUACCGGAUGAUGACGAAAGUCCAAAGAUUUAUCGCCGAAGGAUGAGCCCGCGUAGGAUUAGGUAGUUGGUAGGGUAAUGGCCUACCAAGCCGACGAUCCUUAGCUGGUCUGAGAGGAUGAUCAGCCACACUGGGACUGAGACACGGCCCAGACUCCUACGGGAGGCAGCAGUGGGGAAUAUUGGACAAUGGGCGAAAGCCUGAUCCAGCAAUGCCGCGUGAGUGAUGAAGGCCUUAGGGUUGUAAAGCUCUUUUACCAGGGAUGAUAAUGACAGUACCUGGAGAAUAAGCUCCGGCUAACUCCG